UACAGAGGGUGCGAGCGUUAAUCGGAAUUACUGGGCGUAAAGCGUGCGUAGACGGUUAUUUAAGUCGGGUGUGAAAGCCCCGGGCUCAACCUGGGAACGGCGCUUGAGACUGGCACGCUCGAGUUCGGGAGAGGAUGGUGGAAUUCCCAGUGUAGAGGUGAAAUUCGUAGAUAUUGGGAAGAACACCGAUGGCGAAGGCAGCCAUCUGGACCGACACUGACGCUGAGGCGCGAAAGCGUGGGGAGCAAACAGG
This 253-nucleotide ribosomal RNA is filed under the name uncultured bacterium. RNAcentral's name for it is "partial 16S ribosomal RNA". It matches the Rfam family "Bacterial small subunit ribosomal RNA", at positions 524 to 776 of the family's 1533-position model. The record is from RNAcentral.